UACGGAGGGUGCAAGCGUUAUCCGGAUUCACUGGGUUUAAAGGGUGCGUAGGCGGGUAAGUAAGUCCGUGGUGAAAUCUCUGAGCUUAACUCAGAAACUGCCGUGGAUACUAUUUGCCUUGAAUAUUGUGGAGGUGAGCGGAAUAUGUCAUGUAGCGGUGAAAUGCUUAGAUAUGACACAGAACACCAAUUGCGUAGGCAGCUCGCUAAACUCUUACUGACGCUGAGGCACGAAAGCAUGGGGAUCAAACAGG
This 253-nucleotide ribosomal RNA is filed under the name uncultured bacterium. RNAcentral's name for it is "partial 16S ribosomal RNA". It matches the Rfam family "Bacterial small subunit ribosomal RNA", at positions 524 to 776 of the family's 1533-position model. The record is from RNAcentral.